GGGGGUCCGUGGCUCCAUGGUUAAGCAUCUGCUUUGCAGGCAUAAGGUUCCAGGUUCAAUCCCUGGCUCCUCCA
Molecule: transfer RNA, 74 nt
Filed under: Sphaerodactylus townsendi
Lineage: Eukaryota; Metazoa; Chordata; Lepidosauria; Squamata; Sphaerodactylidae
Description: tRNA-Ala
Rfam family: tRNA
About the family: Transfer RNA (tRNA) molecules are approximately 80 nucleotides in length. Their secondary structure includes four short double-helical elements and three loops (D, anti-codon, and T loops). Further hydrogen bonds mediate the characteristic L-shaped molecular structure. tRNAs have two regions of fundamental functional importance: the anti-codon, which is responsible for specific mRNA codon recognition, and the 3' end, to which the tRNAs corresponding amino acid is attached (by aminoacyl-tRNA synthetases). tRNAs cope with the degeneracy of the genetic code in two manners: having more than one tRNA (with a specific anti-codon) for a particular amino acid; and 'wobble' base-pairing, i.e. permitting non-standard base-pairing at the 3rd anti-codon position.
Source: RNAcentral